This 2903-nucleotide ribosomal RNA is filed under the name Sphingobacterium sp. SGG-5. RNAcentral's name for it is "23S ribosomal RNA". It matches the Rfam family "Bacterial large subunit ribosomal RNA". Lineage: Bacteria; Pseudomonadati; Bacteroidota; Sphingobacteriia; Sphingobacteriales; Sphingobacteriaceae. The record is from RNAcentral.
AAGAAAGUAAUAAAGGGCACACGGGGGAUGCCUAGGCUCCCAGAGGCGAAGAAGGACGUGAUAAGCUGCGAUAAGCUGUGGGUAUCGGCAAAUGCGAUUUGAUCCACAGAUUUCCGAAUGGGGCAACCCGGCAUGCUGAAGGCAUGUCAUCUUUAACAAGAAGCGAACGCGCCGAACUGAAACAUCUAAGUAGGCGUAGGAGGAGAAAAUAACAAUGAUUUCCCAAGUAGUGGCGAGCGAACGGGAAAGAGCCCAAACCGUUCAUGUUACGGCAUGUACGGGGUUGUAGGACUGUGACGUGGUUACAUAUAAGCGAAGUGGAACGGGAUGGGAAGCCCGGCGAAAGGAGUGAGAGCCUCGUACACGUAAGCGAUUAUGGCCUAACAGUAUCCUGAGUAGCGCGGGACCGGAGAAAUCCUGCGUGAAUCCGGCGGCACCAUCCGCCAAGGCUAAAUACUCCUGGGAGACCGAUAGUGGACCAGUACCGUGAGGGAAAGGUGAAAAGAACCCCGAACAGGGGAGUGAAAAGAACCUGAAACCGUGUGCUUACAAUCGGUCGGAGUCCCGAUUUAUCGGGAUGACGGCGUGCCUUUUGCAUAAUGAGCCUACGAGUUACACUUUACCGGCAAGGUUAAGCCCUUCAGGGGCGCAGCCGAAGCGAAAGCGAGUCUUAACAGGGCGCACAGUCGGUAGAGGUAGACGCGAAACCUGGUGAUCUACCCUUGGGCAGGUUGAAGGUUGGGUAACACCAACUGGAGGACCGAACCGAUAAACGUUGAAAAGUUUCCGGAUGACCUGAGGGUAGGGGUGAAAGGCCAAUCAAACCGGGAAAUAGCUCGUACUCCCCGAAAUGUUUUUAGGAACAGCGUGGGCAUAGAGUCUGACGGAGGUAGAGCUACCGAUUGGGUGCGGGGGAGUCAAAUCCUACCAAAUCCAGACGAACUCCGAAUGCCGUCAGAUAUGGCCUGCAGUGAGGCCUCGGGUGCUAAGGUCCGAGGCCGAGAGGGAAAGAACCCAGACCAUCAGCUAAGGUCCCCAAAUGUAUGCUAAGUUGGACUAACGAGGUCCGGUUGCCCAGACAGCUAGGAUGUUGGCUUGGAAGCAGCCAUCCAUUUAAAGAGUGCGUAACAGCUCACUAGUCGAGCGGCCGGGCGUGGAUAAUAAACGGGCAUCAAGCGUACUACCGAAGCUAUGGACCUGUACUGAAAGAGGUACAGUUGGUAGGGGAGCAUUCCAUCGGGGGCGAAGCAGGGAGGUGACUUCUUGUGGACCUUAUGGAAAAGCAAAUGUAGGCAUGAGUAACGAUAAGGCGGGUGCGAAACCCGCCCACCGAAAGACCAAGGUUUCCUGAUCAACGCUAAUCGGAUCAGGGUCAGUCGGGUCCUAAGGCGCACCCGAAGGGGGGCAGCCGAUGGGCAACGGGUUAAUAUUCCCGUACUUUUCGAUAUUGCGAUGUGGUGACGGAGUAGUGACACUGCCGCGGACUGACGGAAUAGUCCGUUGAAGGGAGUAGGUAUAGAUAUGGUAGGCAAAUCCGCCGUAUCUGCUGAAUCCCGAUAGUACUGCAAAGCUUCGGCGGCGCAGAUAGUGCAGGUAAUCAGACUUCCAAGAAAACCCGCUAAGCUCCAGAUAUCGAAAACCCGUACCGCAAACCGACACAGGUGGUCGAGGAGAGGAUCCUAAGGUGCUCGAGUGAACCAUGGCUAAGGAACUCGGCAAAAUGGCCCUGUAACUUCGGGAGAAGGGGCGCUUCCUUACAGCAAUGUAAGAAGCCGCAGUGAAAAGGCCCAGGCGACUGUUUAACAAAAACAUAUGGCUUUGCGAAAUCGCAAGAUGAGGUAUAAGGCCUGACACCUGCCCGGUGCCGGAAGGUUAAGAGGGGAUGUCAUCCGCAAGGAGAAGCAUUGAAUCGAAGCCCCGGUAAACGGCGGCCGUAACUAUAACGGUCCUAAGGUAGCGAAAUUCCUUGUCGGGUAAGUUCCGACCUGCACGAAUGGUGUAACGAUCUGGGCGCUGUCUCAGCCAUGGGCUCGGUGAAAUUGUGGUACCGGUGAAGACGCCGGUUACCCGCAACGGGACGGAAAGACCCCAUGAACCUUCACUAUAGCUUAACAUUGUGACUGGGUGCAGGAUGUGUAGGAUAGGCGGGAGUAGUCGAAGUAGCUUCGCCAGGAGUUAUGGAUACACCCUUGAAAUACCGCCCUUUCUGUAUCCGGUUUCUAAUCCCAUCAAGUGGGAGACAUUGUUUGGUGGGUAGUUUGACUGGGGUGGUCGCCUCCAAAAAGGUAACGGAGGCUUUCAAAGGUAAGCUCAGUACGCUUGGUAACCGUACGAGGAGUGCAAUGGCAUAAGCUUGCUUGACUGUGGGGCCUACAAGCCGAUCAGGGUCGAAAGACGGACAUAGUGAUCCGGUGGUUCUGUAUGGAAGGGCCAUCGCUCAAAGGAUAAAAGGUACUCUGGGGAUAACAGGCUGAUCUCCCCCAAGAGCUCAUAUCGACGGGGAGGUUUGGCACCUCGAUGUCGGCUCGUCACAUCCUGGGGCUGGAGAAGGUCCCAAGGGUUGGGCUGUUCGCCCAUUAAAGUGGCACGCGAGCUGGGUUCAGAACGUCGCGAGACAGUUCGGUCCCUAUCUGUUGUGGGCGUUGGAAGUCUGAGUGGGUCUGUCCUUAGUACGAGAGGACCGGGAUGGACGGACCGCUGGUGAACCAGUUAUGCCGCCAGGUGUACGGCUGGGUAGCUACGUCCGGUUAGGAUAAGCGCUGAAAGCAUCUAAGUGCGAAACCUGCCACGAGAUUAGACUUCCUUAAUAGGGCCGUAGGAGACUACUACGUCGAUAGGCCGCAGGUGUAAAGGUGGAGACACCAUAGCCGAGCGGUACUAAUAGCCCGAAGCUUUCCGCGCAG